This 253-nucleotide ribosomal RNA is filed under the name uncultured bacterium. RNAcentral describes it as "partial 16S ribosomal RNA". It matches the Rfam family "Bacterial small subunit ribosomal RNA", at positions 524 to 776 of the family's 1533-position model. The record is from RNAcentral.
UACGUAGGGGGCAAGCGUUGUCCGGAUUUAUUGGGCGUAAAGAGCGUGUAGGCGGCCUGAAAGGUCAGCUGUGAAAACUCGAGGCUCAACCUCGAGACGUCGGUUGAAACCAUCUGGCUAGAGUCCGGAAGAGGAGUGUGGAAUCCCCGGUGUAGCGGUGAAAUGCGCAGAUAUCGGGAAGAACACCCGUGGCGAAGGCGGCACUCUGGGACGGUACUGACGCUGAGACGCGAAAGCGUGGGGAGCGAACAGG